UACGUAGGGUGCGAGCGUUAAUCGGAAUUACUGGGCGUAAAGGGUGCGCAGGCGGUGGCUCAAGCCAGGCGUGAAAUCCCCGGGCUUAACCUGGGAAUGGCGUUUGGGACUGGGUCGCUAGAGUGUGGCAGAGGGAGGUGGAAUUCCACGUGUAGCAGUGAAAUGCGUAGAGAUGUGGAGGAACACCGAUGGCGAAGGCAGCCUCCUGGGCCAGCACUGACGCUCAUGCACGAAAGCGUGGGGAGCAAACAGG
Molecule: ribosomal RNA, 253 nt
Filed under: uncultured bacterium
Lineage: Bacteria
Description: partial 16S ribosomal RNA
Rfam family: Bacterial small subunit ribosomal RNA
Source: RNAcentral